Long non-coding RNA from Ornithodoros turicata, 202 nucleotides. RefSeq lists it as uncharacterized. The transcript has 3 exons. The record is from RefSeq and is a predicted model, not a curated record. NCBI's taxonomy places the organism in Eukaryota, Metazoa, Arthropoda, Arachnida, Ixodida, Argasidae.
CAGAAAUCAACAAGAUGAGCGGACUCUCCCCCGUACUGCUGAAGUUUAUAUCCUGCACAUGAAGCCAACGUCUUGCGCACGUCAGCGGAGCAGAUGCUUGGCACAUCGGUCACAGGUCUUAGGGUGUUAAUACGUGCUUCUCGAGGGCCGUCUCAGGAGAUCUCCCCACAUCGGAAGUAUAUACCUCCACCUUGCUUCUUUG